Molecule: ribosomal RNA, 900 nt
Filed under: uncultured bacterium
Lineage: Bacteria
Description: bacterial SSU rRNA
Rfam family: Bacterial small subunit ribosomal RNA
Source: RNAcentral
AAUUUGGGGGCGGCCCUUGCUUGCAAGUCAAAUCGGCGCGGCGUGCGGCAGGGGCCUCUGUCUCUGCGGCUCCGCCCGUGUGGCGGACGGGUGAGUAACGCGUGGGCAACCUGCCCUGCACUGGGGGAUAACACCUGAAAACAGGUGCUAAUACCGCAUAAGCGCGCUGUGCCGCAUGGCGCGGCGCGGAAAACCCCGGUGGUACAGGAUGGGCCCGCGUCUGAUUAGCUGGUUGGUGGGGUAACGGCCUACCAAGGCGACGAUCAGUAGCCGGCCUGAGAGGGUGGACGGCCACACUGGGACUGAGACACGGCCCACACUCCUACGGGAGGCAGCAGUGGGGGAUAUUGCACAAUGGGGGGAACCCUGAUGCAGCGACGCCGCGUGGGUGAAGGAGCGUUUCGGCGCGUAAAGCCCUAUCGGCAGGGAAGAAGAUGACGGUACCUGGCCAAGAAGCCCCGGCUAACUACGUGCCAGCAGCCGCGGUAAUACGUAGGGGGCAAGCGUUAUCCGGAUUUACUGGGUGUAAAGGGGGCGCAGACGGCAAUGCAAGCCAGGAGUGAAAGCCCGGGGCCCAACCCCGGGACUGCUCUUGGAACUGCAUGGCUGGAGUACAGGAGGGGCAGGCGGAAUUCCUAGUGUAGCGGUGAAAUGCGUAGAUAUUAGGAGGAACACCGGUGGCGAAGGCGGCCUGCUGGACUGUGACUGACGUUGACGCCCGAAGGCGUGGGGAGCAAACAGGAUUAGAUACCCUGGUAGUCCACGCGGUAAACGAUGACUGCUAGGUGUCGGGGGGCAGGGGCCCCCCGGUGCCGGAGCAAACUCAUUAAAGCAGUCCACCUGGGGGAGUACGUUCCCCAAAAAUGAAACUCAAAGGAAUUGACUGGGAACCCCACAACC